Molecule: ribosomal RNA, 322 nt
Filed under: Acinetobacter radioresistens WC-A-157
Lineage: Bacteria; Pseudomonadati; Pseudomonadota; Gammaproteobacteria; Moraxellales; Moraxellaceae
Description: bacterial SSU rRNA
Rfam family: Bacterial small subunit ribosomal RNA
Source: RNAcentral
CGCCACACUGGGACUGAGACACGGCCCAGACUCCUACGGGAGGCAGCAGUGGGGAAUAUUGGACAAUGGGGGGAACCCUGAUCCAGCCAUGCCGCGUGUGUGAAGAAGGCCUUUUGGUUGUAAAGCACUUUAAGCGAGGAGGAGGCUACCUAGAUUAAUACUUUAGGAUAGUGGACGUUACUCGCAGAAUAAGCACCGGCUAACUCUGUGCCAGCAGCCGCGGUAAUACAGAGGGUGCGAGCGUUAAUCGGAUUUACUGGGCGUAAAGCGUGCGUAGGCGGCCAAUUAAGUCAAAUGUGAAAUCCCCGAGCUUAACUUGGGA